CUGCUUGCGCACUCUGUAGAGCCGCGCCGCGCGCUCACUAAUGCGUCAUAUCGCCAUCGAAGCUAACGCGCUUUCCGCCACUCUGGAAGUACAAUUCGCGCGCGCCAUGUGAACUUAUGUGUUGACUUAUGUACAGACAUGCGACGCGUCAGCGUGUUCGGGAAGCUUAAAUUCGACUUCAAUAUGACUUUUGCCGUUAUGGACAGUGACUUUGGUGCCUGUGAGCUGAGAGACAGUAUAGUGGUACACGCGGUUGGCGCACGUGCUCGCGUCUUCUUCCUAAAACUGAGUACAAUGGCCGACAGACUCCAGCUCCUCCAGCAGCAGCUGAAGCAGUGAAAGAUUUCCUAAUGGAUCAAUUACAAAAUGAUAUGCGCUGAUUGCCCAGGUAUAUCAGAUGGGGCGACCUGUGGCUCGGCGGGAGAACUAUCAUCAUUGCUCGAUUUUAAUUCGAGGUGAUCCCUGUCUUUGAAGAAAAUGCCGUGAUCGAACGUUCGAGAUAAAGAAAACAAAAUGGCUGACCUAUACAAAUAAAAGCUUGCGCUGGAGAGGCCGGUGAACGCGGGGAGCCAGCUGACCCGUUCCUGACGUUCUCUCAACAGAUGGCGAAAUCUUCGGCGUCGUGUGAUUCACAAUCAAAAACUCUGUAUUGUAUAUCAAUAAAGUGAUUCAAUAUUAUAAAAUAAAAGUAAACCCUAA
RNAcentral lists this long non-coding RNA (699 nucleotides) under Helicoverpa zea (corn earworm). RNAcentral's name for it is "uncharacterized LOC124645158, transcript variant X3". Lineage: Eukaryota; Metazoa; Arthropoda; Insecta; Lepidoptera; Noctuidae. The record is from RNAcentral.